This 637-nucleotide ribosomal RNA is filed under the name Nalanthamala olivacea. RNAcentral describes it as "eukaryotic LSU rRNA". It matches the Rfam family "Eukaryotic large subunit ribosomal RNA", at positions 92 to 761 of the family's 3401-position model. Lineage: Eukaryota; Fungi; Ascomycota; Sordariomycetes; Hypocreales; Nectriaceae. The record is from RNAcentral.
AGUGAAGCGGCAACAGCUCAAAUUUGAAAUCUGGCCCUUGUGGUCCGAGUUGUAAUUUGUAGAGGAUGCUUUUGGUUAGGUGCCUUCCGAGUUCCCUGGAACGGGACGCCAUAGAGGGUGAGAGCCCCGUCUGGUUGGAUACCGAGCCUCUGUAAAGCUCCUUCGACGAGUCGAGUAGUUUGGGAAUGCUGCUCUAAAUGGGAGGUAUAUGUCUUCUAAAGCUAAAUACCGGCCAGAGACCGAUAGCGCACAAGUAGAGUGAUCGAAAGAUGAAAAGCACUUUGAAAAGAGGGUUAAAAAGUACGUAAAUUGUUGAAAGGGAAGCGCUUGUGACCAGACUUGGGCCCGGUCAAUCAUCCAGGGUUCUCCCUGGUGCACUUGGCCGGCCCAGGCCAGCAUCAGUUUGUCGCGGGGGAUAAAGGCGUCGGGAAUGUGGCUCCCCCGGGAGUGUUAUAGCCCUUCGUGUAAUACCCUGCUUCGGACUGAGGUUCGCGCAUCUGCAAGGAUGCUGGCGUAAUGGUCAUCAGCGACCCGUCUUGAAACACGGACCAAGGAGUCGUCUUCGUAUGCGAGUGUUCGGGUGUCAAACCCCUACGCGUAAUGAAAGUGAACGCAGGUGAGAGCUUCGGCGCAUCAU